UACGUAGGGGGCAAGCGUUGUCCGGAUUUAUUGGGCGUAAAGAGCGUGUAGGCGGCUUUACAGGUCCGUUGUGAAAACUCGAGGUUCAACCUCGAGACGCCGGUGGAAACCGUAAAGCUAGAGUCCGGAAGAGGAGAGUGGAAUUCCUGGUGUAGCGGUGAAAUGCGCAGAUAUCAGGAGGAACACCCGUGGCGAAAGCGGCUCUCUGGGACGGUACUGACGCUGAGACGCGAAAGCGUGGGGAGCAAACAGG
This 253-nucleotide ribosomal RNA is filed under the name uncultured bacterium. RNAcentral's name for it is "partial 16S ribosomal RNA". It matches the Rfam family "Bacterial small subunit ribosomal RNA", at positions 524 to 776 of the family's 1533-position model. The record is from RNAcentral.